AGGGCGACUGAAAAGGGAUGAGCCCAGCGCAGAAUCAGGCCGAUCUCUAUACGGGACGGUCGUGAAAUGUUGCGUUUCGGAGGAUCUAGUCUUGCGUGUCGGUUCGAGCAUAAGUUUUCUUUGAAUGGAGCCAUUGACCAUGGAGGGUGUUAGUCCCGUUUUGCCGUGACCGACCGUGAGGUGGAUCUCUCUGUAGAGUCGGGUUGCUUGAAAUUGCAGCCCUAAGCAGGUGGUAAACUCCAUCUAAGGCUAAAUAUGACCAUGAGACCGAUAGCAAACAAGUACCGUGAGGGAAAGUUGAAAAGUACUUUGAAGAGAGAGUUAAAAAGAGCGUGAAACCGAUAAGAGGAAAACGGGUGGAACCUCGAAGAUCGAUGGAGACAAUUCAACUCGCGGUGCUGGACACCACGCGUUUGGUAGGAUUUCGCUUCGGCGUGCCUCUGAACCGUGGAAGGUCGGCCCUGAGCGUGCCCUUAUCUCCGGAGGUCGUCGCGACCCGUUCGUUGGCUAUCAUAAGGCUCCGGUAGGAAGGACCAAUCGCUUCGGCGAGUGGGAAUCUCUGGGUGACCUGAUCGGCCGGCACCUUUGGCAAUUUGUUAAAAGACUGUGUUUGUUGAGCACACAGGGACUCGCUGAGCAUCUCUGCGACGAGUAGGUCGGUUGUCCACCCGACCCGUCUUGAAACACGGACCAAGGAGUCUAUCAUGUACACGAGUCAUUGGGCUUACUAAGCCCAAAGGCGAAGUGA
Molecule: ribosomal RNA, 748 nt
Filed under: Siriella sp. EC-2013
Lineage: Eukaryota; Metazoa; Arthropoda; Malacostraca; Mysida; Mysidae
Description: eukaryotic LSU rRNA
Rfam family: Eukaryotic large subunit ribosomal RNA
Source: RNAcentral